GCCUACGGCCAUAACAGUCUGAAAGUGCCUGAUCUCGUCAGAUCUCAGAAGUCAUGCAGACUUGGGCCUGCUUAGUACUUGUAUGGGAGACCAACUAGAAACCUCACGUGCCGUAAGCU
Non-coding RNA from Pelobates cultripes (western spadefoot toad), 119 nucleotides. Lineage: Eukaryota; Metazoa; Chordata; Amphibia; Anura; Pelobatidae. The record is from the annotation of a GenBank genome assembly.